UGCUCUGUACCAUAGACCUUUCACAAUGCCAUUGGCAAUAGGAUUAGAACUUUACUAAAUUAUAAUCAAAAUGUUUUACCAUCAUGUAAUAAAGUAGCCUGAAAUUCUUGAAAAGAAUUGCAGCUUAUCAAAUUCCUGAGUUUUCAAGUAAACUUGCUAUUAGGUAAAAUACAUUAUUUAAGUUAUAUUCACUCUAUAUUAAUUCAUGGUAAAUUAGUACAUUUGAAAACACUCUUCUAUCCCACUUUUAGGAAAACGUCUCAUACUGAAUAUUGUUCACCAGAAAAAAACAAAGGAUGCUAAAAAUGAGUAAAAUAAGAAAACUUAAGAACUUCAUCACAUAUUAGUAACAAAUCACAGCAGCGUAACUUUUCAUUGUAAUUAUGAUCAUUUUUCAAUAGUAUUGUCCUUAUUGAUAAAUGAUGCACGGUGUAUCGGAUUUACUACGCUAGCUUUAUGAAUGAAGUGUAGUAAAUAUAUUCCCACGUACUUUUAAAAGACAACCAAUGAAAAUGCAUUGAUUUCCACUUCCGCAUCUAGAACAUUCGAACAUUCGUUCACGUAAAUAAACAAAUACGUUUGUAUUGUUGAAUUAUACAACGGAAAUAAGUGGAAUUAAACAUCUAAAAUGUGUAUUCAAGAAUUGCCAAGAGAUACUAAUUAUCUAACUGGGUGUUUGAAAGAAAGAUAUCCCAACGGCCCUGACAUACAAACAUGGAAUUUGUUAUACUGCGGAAAAUAUUAUAGACUCAUUCAACAGUAUGUCUGGCAUCCAGAUGAAUUACAACGUCAAUAUGCAAAACAUCACGAAGAAAACGAUUGCUUAAAACAAAAUAUAUCUGAAAAAAACUGCUAAACAACAACUGGAAAAACUUCAAGAAGAGAAUGUUUUCACUCGUUACUUGUAAUCACUCAAGCGUAGGAUUGUUUCACAAUUGCAUACACGGCUGAAUAUCAUACUUGUAAUCACUCAAGCGUAGGAUUGUUUUACAAUUGCAUACAUGAUUGAAUAUCAUAGUUGUCACUUGUUUCCUGUAAUCACGCAAGCGUAGGAUUGUUUUACAACUGCUUACAUGAUUGAAUAUCAUACUUGUAAUCACUCGAGCGUAGGAUUGUUUCACAAUUGUAUACACGGUUGAAUAUCAUAGAUUUUUACUUGUUACUUGUAAUCACUCAAGCGUAGGAUUAUUUCACAAUUGCAUACACGGCUGAAUAUCAUAGAUUUGUACUGGUUACUUGUAAUCACUCAAGCGUAGGAUUGUUUCACAAUUUUCUGCAGGAUAUUAAUCUGAUGUUAGAAAUAUCAGUUAAUGAGACAUGAAAUACGAAGUGAUUGUUUGUUCAUUUUGUUUUAUAUUGUUAUCUUUUAGUAUUUUAUACAAUAAAUCAUAAAUGUUUAUACCAUCUUGUAACAUUUUAAUGAAAAAUAAACAAUAAUAACCACACAA
Long non-coding RNA from Mercenaria mercenaria, 1448 nucleotides. RefSeq lists it as uncharacterized. The record is from RefSeq and is a predicted model, not a curated record. NCBI's taxonomy places the organism in Eukaryota, Metazoa, Mollusca, Bivalvia, Venerida, Veneridae. The transcript has 2 exons.